RNAcentral lists this ribosomal RNA (391 nucleotides) under Oribacterium sinus. Its description in RNAcentral is "bacterial SSU rRNA". It matches the Rfam family "Bacterial small subunit ribosomal RNA", at positions 68 to 455 of the family's 1533-position model. Lineage: Bacteria; Bacillati; Bacillota; Clostridia; Lachnospirales; Lachnospiraceae. The record is from RNAcentral.
GGAAAGCUUCGGCCGGAAGAUACGUUAUCUAGUGGCGGACGGGUGAGUAACACGUGGGUAACCUGCCUUAUGGAGGGGGAUAACAGAGAGAAAUCACUGCUAAUACCGCAUAAGCACACAGUACCGCAUGGUACAGGGUGAAAAGAUUUAUCGCCAUAAGAUGGACCCGCGUCUGAUUAGCCAGUUGGCAGGGUAAAAGCCUACCAAAGCAACGAUCAGUAGCCGAUCUGAGAGGAUGACCGGCCACAUUGGGACUGAGACACGGCCCAAACUCCUACGGGAGGCAGCAGUGGGGAAUAUUGCACAAUGGGGGAAACCCUGAUGCAGCGACGCCGCGUGAGUGAAGAAGUAUUUCGGUAUGUAAAGCUCUAUCAGCAGGGAAGAUAAUGAC